GAUUGGGUCUGUAGCUCAGUUGGUUAGAGCGCACCCCUGAUAAGGGUGAGGUCGGCAGUUCGAAUCUGCCCAGACCCAACA
This 81-nucleotide transfer RNA is filed under the name Stutzerimonas stutzeri. RNAcentral describes it as "Pseudomonas stutzeri tRNA-Ile". It matches the Rfam family "tRNA". Rfam says of the family: Transfer RNA (tRNA) molecules are approximately 80 nucleotides in length. Lineage: Bacteria; Pseudomonadati; Pseudomonadota; Gammaproteobacteria; Pseudomonadales; Pseudomonadaceae. The record is from RNAcentral.